This 253-nucleotide ribosomal RNA is filed under the name uncultured bacterium. Its description in RNAcentral is "partial 16S ribosomal RNA". It matches the Rfam family "Bacterial small subunit ribosomal RNA", at positions 524 to 776 of the family's 1533-position model. The record is from RNAcentral.
UACGUAGGGGGCAAGCGUUGUCCGGAUUUAUUGGGCGUAAAGAGCGUGUAGGCGGCCAGGUAGGUCUGCUGUGAAAACUCGAGGCUUAACCUCGAGAUGUCGGCGGAAACCAUCUGGCUAGAGUCCGGAAGAGGAGAGCGGAAUUCCUGGUGUAGCGGUGAAAUGCGUAGAUAUCGAGAGGAACACCUGCGGCGAAGGCGGGUUGCUGGGCCGACACUGACGCUGAGGCGCGAAAGCCAGGGGAGCGAACGGG